GGGAUUUGUGAUGUUCAGUAACUGGUUUAACACUAAUUGUAUGCAAAUUGCAUAGUGGAGCUGGAUUGGUUCAAAUGAUAUUUAAAAACUCUCCAGUUUUUCUAAUUUUAAGUAUUCUUAACUGAUGAGGUCAAGCAAAAGAAUUGAAGGAGCUCUGUCCUUCACUGGGUGUCUGCAUUGGCAUAGAGGUAGAGUACUAAAAUUGUACUGCAGUCAAUCCCAUUGUUGCUACUCUUUCAUACUGUACGGCACUUGAAGGAUUUAUUGCCACAUUAGAGAGGUCAAACUUAGUUUAUUUUGUCCAUUUAAACAAGAAAAUCUCAAGAGUGUUGGAGCAAAUUUCAAGUUCAUAGCUGUCUUUCAUUGAACUUUUAAUUUCUUGGGUUGUGGUUGAGGCUUCUCCAAUAUUAUAUCCUUGAAACAAUUUUUUCCCUGCUAUAAGGACAGAACAAGUGCUAAUGGAGAGAAUAAAAU
RNAcentral lists this unclassified non-coding RNA (474 nucleotides) under Hevea brasiliensis (rubber tree). Lineage: Eukaryota; Viridiplantae; Streptophyta; Magnoliopsida; Malpighiales; Euphorbiaceae. The record is from RNAcentral.